UCUCUCUCUCUCUCUCUCUCUCUCUCUCAAUCUCAAUCUCAAUGCCGAUUUAGGAAUUUGGGGAUUUAGUAAUUUAUGGAUUUUUUAUUUGAUGUGGACCCUCAUUGAGGGAUUUGGGGAUUUUAGGGCUUACAGAUUUGAAUGUGGACCCCGAAUUGGGGUUUUUCUGAUUUUACGAAUUACGGAUUUGGAGAUUUUAGGAUUUUGGGGAUCUGAGGAUUUUUGGAAUUGGGGAUUUCACCUUCUAUUUUUUAUUUAUUUAUUGGGGAUUUAGGGAUUUCUACUACUCCAAUGCCGUCGAAAAGAAAUGGUCCAUUUGGGGACAGAGCAUACAUAUGAUGUUUGGGGAUGGAGCAUACAUUUUCUUUCCCCAGAAUGAUGUUUUUUCAUGGUUUAUGGAGAGAUCUUGUCCAUCUUAUCUUAUUACGGUUUCUUUAGGUUUUUGAAGCUAUAGAUUCGGUUUGGAGAUUAGAUCUGAUUUUUUUCUGGUAUUUGGCGCAAUCUAAUAGGAUUCCUUGCCUGAUUUGAUGUAUUUGGUUGUAAAAUGAUGGAAGACGUGUUUUAGAAAAGAUUUGGCUGCAUCACAAGUUAGAAUACAGUGGUUGUAGGUGAUCAACUCUCAGAAGUAAAUAAGGUUAUAUAUAUGAUGCCCUGUUAUGCCUGAUUACUUCCUACACCUUACAAUGGUUGGUUUGGCUAUUCAUGAGUUUGCGGAUGGUGGUUAUGGUUAAACACAGGAAUUAUGAGAUCCCGAUUGUCUUAAGGCCACAUGAUGAGUGGACGAGCCUGAUUUUUAUGUUGAGCAUUCUUCGUGGUGGGGGCCAAACCUUUUGGACGAGUGGGAUGUUGUACACACUUGACACUUUGGAAUUUAUGCCCUAGGUGGACGGUAAAUUAUUUUCUAACUAGUCAUGUGUGAGGCUGCCUCUUUAAAUUAUUAUAUUUUAAAUAUUAAAGAUAUAUACUUUUGUCAUUGUAGAUUCUUUUCAUUGACUAAUAGUCAAGUACAAAAUGCAACUUAUAUAGUUUUCUUUUAUUUAUUUAUUUAUAUGCAUGUUGGUUUUAUGGAAGUCGAAAUCUUGAAAAUGUUGGUAUAGCUGUUGCAGGAAAAAACCUUGAAAAGUUAAUGAUUUUGAGGCUUCAUUGUUGUGUAGUCUAUGAUCAAAAUCUGAUCCAUUAACUAAUAGAAAUGUUGUUUUUUGUUUUUCUAUGCCGGCUCAUGCACUAGUUUAUUUGAUUUAGUUUUAAAUUUUGCAUCUCAUGUUCUAUAUUUUAAAGUUAGUAUUUACUUUAGCUUGCGGAAAUGGUCUAAUUUCAGGGUUUGCCACAUCUUGAUGUUAGAAUAAAGUGGCCGAAUGAUCUUUACUUAAAUGGCCUUAAAGUUAGCGGCAUCCUGUGCACCUCAAUAUAUAAAUCAAAUAAGUUCAAUGUGAGUGCUAGAACAAGAGCAUGUUUCUUCUGUUGAUAAUCUAUUUUUCUUUCUUAGUCAGCAUGGUUGCACAUGCCUAAGUUGGAUUGAUGUGUGGAGAUGUUUUCCUUGUGAUGGCCCAUUGCCUUUAACAUCAAGAUGUGGCCCAUUGUCUUUAAGAUUCUUGUUCAAUGACCUUUAAUAGGAGUAGUCAUGAUCUUUUACAGAAAAAUAGAUCAAAUCAACAAUUUGAUCAAUCUACUUGUUAGUACCCAUCAUGAACAGAGUUCCCUUUGUGUUUAAGCUAAAUGGUGGAAUAGUCGUGGCUGUUUGGUAGUUUAGAGUUUUUGUUGCUAAGCUCUUAGUUUAUUUAUUUAUUUAAUAUUUAAAUUCAUUUUCAUUUGUUGUUUGGGUGCAGUUAGUGUCUGCUGAUGUGCAGUUAGUGUCUGGCGUUACACUUCUACUCAACAGAUGAAGAGUGGGCUAGAUGAUGGCCUGUUGAGAUUGAUUGAAUAGAUCAUACACGUCCAAAUGAAACUCACAGGACAAUAUCUGCACAAUAUCUGAGGAUCAUUUUUUUAGACUAAUGGCAUGUUUGGACAGGUGGGCCCAAGUUUAUAAUCAGAUAGGGAUGGAGUGAGUGAAUCACAAUUCACACAGGUCCUAAACAUCGAGCUAGAUCAGAUUAUCGAGGCCUGUAAAUUCCUUGAUGAGAACUGGUCACAAAAGUUUAUAAUUAUUGUGGCUCAAAAAAACCACCAAACUAAAUUCUUCCAGCUUCAAUCUCCGGACAAUGUUCCGCAUGGCACUGUUGUGGACAAAGCAAUUUGCCAUCCGCGAAACCACGACUUCUACAUGUGUUCACACACAGGAAUGAUUGUAAGAUUUGAUAUGGAGCUGACCUUUUUGUUAAAUUGUGGGAAGUCACCAUCCAUCCUCCCUUGAUUGAUUGCAUCACCUAGUCUUUUUUAUUGUGCUCAUAUCCAUACACAAGCAGAAAGAAUUGGUACACAAUCAAUCAAGGUGGGUGUGGAUUGCUUGCUUUUGCAUCGUCUUUUCCUUUAAAUAAGGAACAACGCGCCCUACUCACUACCAUGUUUUGCGGGAUGAGAUUGGCUUCUCCCUUGAUGAUCUCCAAGAGCUUUUGCAUUCAUUGAUGUGUGUCAGAGGAGCACAACUGCGAUAGCAAUCGGUAAGUACCGUGUUUCUGUUAUGUGGUAAUUGCCUAUUUUAUGUUAUGAGGGGUUUUAAUUACUAUCUCCCUGUCAAAGGACUCUCUUGAGUUUUAGGGUUGCAUCUUGGGAUCAACCAAAACCUUACUUACCCAAACGUAACCUAGGGUUGAGUUGGGCUGGGUUGUUGGGUUCCUCGUUUGGGGUAGGGUUGGAAAACUCCAAAAUAAUUUGAAAUUUGGUUGAGGAUUGGCUUUAACAAAUUCAGGAUGGGUUAGGUCUGGUGGGGAAUAGUGUCUCACUGGUUAAGA
This is a long non-coding RNA of Magnolia sinica, 2891 nucleotides long. RefSeq lists it as uncharacterized. The transcript has 8 exons. The record is from RefSeq and is a predicted model, not a curated record. NCBI's taxonomy places the organism in Eukaryota, Viridiplantae, Streptophyta, Magnoliopsida, Magnoliales, Magnoliaceae.